UCUGUUCUCUGGAAACAAGCCCAGGAGCAGACACAAGUCUGAGCUCUGAGCCCACAGUCCUGGUUUGUCCUUGAAGUAUGAGGCUGGUGAUUGGAGUAACUGUUUUUCUGACCUUGGGGUCUGUGAUUAAUGCUAAGACCACCCAACCCAGCUCCAUGGAUUGUGCUGAAGGAGAGGAUGUAAACCUGCCUUGUAACCACUCUACCAUCGGUGCAAAUGACUAUAUACAUUGGUAUCGGCAAAAUCCCAAUCAGAGUCCACAGUAUAUCAUUCAUGGCUUACGAGACACAGUGAACAGCAGCAUGGCCUCUCUGCACAUAGCUUCAGACAGAAAGUUUUGCACAUUGGUCCUGCCUCAGGUCACCCUGAGAGACGCCGCUGUGUACUACUGCGUCCUGAGAGAGGCACACUGGGACAGACGGGGCCGCACCUGUGCAGUAUCUCUGGUGGGAAGAUGGGGGAACGGAGUGGGGAGAGCAGUCACUAGAGCAAAUUUAGAGUCUUCUAGAAGGAGAAUCAGAGAACAGUAA
This is a non-coding RNA of Capra hircus (goat), 530 nucleotides long. The record is from the annotation of a RefSeq genome assembly. NCBI's taxonomy places the organism in Eukaryota, Metazoa, Chordata, Mammalia, Artiodactyla, Bovidae.